RNAcentral lists this RNase P RNA (392 nucleotides) under Sinimarinibacterium sp. NLF-5-8. RNAcentral's name for it is "Bacterial RNase P class A". It matches the Rfam family "Bacterial RNase P class A". From Rfam's summary of the family: Ribonuclease P (RNase P) is a ubiquitous endoribonuclease, found in archaea, bacteria and eukarya as well as chloroplasts and mitochondria. Its best characterised activity is the generation of mature 5'-ends of tRNAs by cleaving the 5'-leader elements of precursor-tRNAs. The record is from Rfam by way of RNAcentral. Lineage: Bacteria; Pseudomonadati; Pseudomonadota; Gammaproteobacteria; Nevskiales; Nevskiaceae.
GGAGUCGGCCAGACAACCGCUGCCGCCUUUGUUGCGGGAGAGGAAAGUCCGGGCUCCGCAGGGCAGAGUGCCAGGUAACGCCUGGGCGCCGUGAGGCGACGGAAAGUGCAACAGAGAGCAGUCCGCCGAUGGCCGCGCUUGCGCGGAUCAGGCAAGGGUGAAACGGUGCGGUAAGAGCGCACCGCGAGUCUGGCAACAGACCGGCACGGCAAACCCCACUCGGAGCAAGACCAAAUAGGGAAGGUGCGUUGGCGCAAGCCGGCGCGACACGCGGCCCGCGUGCCUUCCGGGUAGGUUGCUGGAGCGUUGCGGCGACGCAGCGCCUAGAGGAAUGGUUGUCGCAAGUGUGCAAACACUUGGCACAGAACCCGGCUUACAGGCCGACUCCCCCA